This 253-nucleotide ribosomal RNA is filed under the name uncultured bacterium. RNAcentral describes it as "partial 16S ribosomal RNA". It matches the Rfam family "Bacterial small subunit ribosomal RNA", at positions 524 to 776 of the family's 1533-position model. The record is from RNAcentral.
UACGGGGGGGGCAAGCGUUGUUCGGAAUUACUGGGCGUAAAGGGCUCGUAGGCGGCCAACUAAGUCGGAUGUGAAAUCCCCAGGCUUAACCUGGGAACUGCAUCCGAUACUGGAUGGCUUGAAUCCGGGAGAGGGAUGCAGAAUUCCAGGUGUAGCGGUGAAAUGCGUAGAUAUCUGGAGGAAUACCUAUGGCGAAAGCAGGCUACUGGACCGUCACUGACUCUGAUCUGCGAAAGCUAGGGGAGCAAACAGG